AUGCUUAGCCAAUCUAUCACCUUUACCCUCAGUUUCUUUAGCAAGGCAGUGGUCAUCUUGGAGGUGUGUUUGGGCAUGCAUGUCUCCAGAGCU
Molecule: long non-coding RNA, 93 nt
Organism: Sinocyclocheilus rhinocerous
Lineage: Eukaryota; Metazoa; Chordata; Actinopteri; Cypriniformes; Cyprinidae
Exons: 3
Source: RefSeq, a predicted model, not a curated record